GGGGGACAGAGUGACAGGUGGUGCAUGGUUGUCGUCAGCUCGUGUCGUGAGAUGUUGGGUUAAGUCCCGCAACGAGCGCAACCCUUGAUCUUAGUUGCCAGCAUUCAGUUGGGCACUCUAAGGUGACUGCCGGUGACAAACCGGAGGAAGGUGGGGAUGACGUCAAAUCAUCAUGCCCCUUAUGACCUGGGCUACACACGUGCUACAAUGGAUGGUACAAAGGGCAGCAAAACCGCGAGGUCGAGCAAAUCCCAUAAAACCAUUCUCAGUUCGGAUUGUAGGCUGCAACUCGCCUACAUGAAGCUGGAAUCGCUAGUAAUCGCGGAUCAGCAUGCCGCGGUGAAUACGUUCCCGGGCCUUGUACACACCGCCCGUCACACCACGAGAGUUUGUAACACCCGAAGUCGGUGGGGUAAC
This 417-nucleotide ribosomal RNA is filed under the name Niallia circulans. RNAcentral describes it as "bacterial SSU rRNA". It matches the Rfam family "Bacterial small subunit ribosomal RNA", at positions 1021 to 1439 of the family's 1533-position model. Lineage: Bacteria; Bacillati; Bacillota; Bacilli; Caryophanales; Bacillaceae. The record is from RNAcentral.